RNAcentral lists this ribosomal RNA (420 nucleotides) under uncultured crenarchaeote. RNAcentral describes it as "bacterial SSU rRNA". It matches the Rfam family "Archaeal small subunit ribosomal RNA", at positions 459 to 879 of the family's 1478-position model. The record is from RNAcentral. Lineage: Archaea; Thermoproteati; Thermoproteota.
CAGCCGCCGCGGUAACACCAGCCCCUCGAGUGGUGGGGACUAUUAUUUGGUCUAAAGCGUCCGUAGCUGGCUGUAUCCGUCCUCCGUUAAAUCCAGCGUCCUAAGCGUUGGACUGCGGAUGAUACCAUACAGCUAGAGGGUGGGAUAGGUGAGCGGUAUUUCUGGGGUAGGGGCGAAAUCCUUUGAUCCCAGGAGGACCACCAGUGGCGAAGGCUGCUCACUAGAACACGCCUGACGGUCAGGGACGAAAGCUGGGGCAGCGAACCGGAUUAGAUACCCGGGUAGUCCCAGCUGUAAACGAUGCUAGCUAGGUGUUGGGUCGGCCACGCGCCGCCCCAGUGCCGCAGGGAAGCCGUUAAGCUAGCCACCUGGGGAGUACGGCCGCAAGGCUGAAACUUAAAGGAAUUGGCGGGGGAGCAC